GAAUUCUUACUUUCCCACAAUGCCUCAAUACGAUUUGGACAUGAUUAAGAAAACGUUGGAGGCAUCAAAACAAGAUGGAGAUGUAAUAUUCUACAGAUGUCCUAAUGGUCAUCUCUAUGGUAUUGGUGAUAGUGGAAGUCCAGUAUAUGCAGCCAUAUGUUGCUGUGGAAAAGAAAUUGGAGGGACAUGUUAUAAGCUAAACGAAGGGAAUAUCAGGGAUCAUGGGUAUUUUAAAUUAAUAGAACUCCUUCCGUUCUGCUUUCCGUCUUGGCAAUAGGUGUUUAAGAGAUAAUAAUAGGUUAAUAUAUUCAACAUACAAUGAUAAAAAAUCAUGAAUUACUGACGGAAUUUUAUUGAAUAAUUAGAAGUAAUUAGAAUUGCUUGUUUCAAAUUAAUAUGUAACCACAUAUAAAU
Molecule: long non-coding RNA, 414 nt
Organism: Mytilus californianus (California mussel)
Lineage: Eukaryota; Metazoa; Mollusca; Bivalvia; Mytilida; Mytilidae
Exons: 3
Source: RefSeq, a predicted model, not a curated record